UACGUAGGGUGCAAGCGUUAAUCGGAAUUACUGGGCGUAAAGCGUGCGCAGGCGGUUGUGCAAGACCGAUGUGAAAUCCCCGGGCUUAACCUGGGAACUGCAUUUGUGACUGCACAGCUGGAGUGCGGCAGAGGGGGAUGGAAUUCCGCGUGUAGCAGUGAAAUGCGUAGAUAUGCGGAGGAACACCGAUGGCGAAGGCAAUCCCCUGGGCCUGCACUGACGCUCAUGCACGAAAGCGUGGGGAGCAAACAGG
Molecule: ribosomal RNA, 253 nt
Filed under: uncultured bacterium
Lineage: Bacteria
Description: partial 16S ribosomal RNA
Rfam family: Bacterial small subunit ribosomal RNA
Source: RNAcentral